Molecule: long non-coding RNA, 518 nt
Filed under: Trifolium pratense (red clover)
Lineage: Eukaryota; Viridiplantae; Streptophyta; Magnoliopsida; Fabales; Fabaceae
Description: long non-coding RNA (TPRA_LNC011242)
Source: RNAcentral
CAUCUUGCAAGUGGCACAUAAGAGAGAUUUAUAUUUUAAAACUAAAGGAGGUAAGAAGCUUUUCUUCCGGCUCCCAUGUUUUUUUUUUCUUUCUGAAUUCGAACUAGAAAAACUUCGAAAAAUGUGUUCUGAUUUUUUUCAAAGGCAAAAUUAGAUUUUUAGGAAAAAGAGAGUCAUGGGGGAUCGGAAGAAAAGCUUUCAAGGAGGUAUACAUGACAUUUUAAUGAACUUUUAAAGUGGUAAAUUACAUGUAAUUCUCAUUGGGCCAAACAAACAAAAAUCAUUUAAUACAAUGCAAUAACAUUAAGUUGUUUUUCCACUUGAUAUUCCACCAAUGUCAUACUAAUUUUACUACCUAGUUUGUACUUCCAAUCAUUAGGGGCAUCUAUAGUCAGAUCUAUUCACAAAACAUCUCUAUUCACAUAAGUCACACAAGUGUCUGUACUAUCCCCUCAAAAUGGCACUUAGUUAGGUAAUUAGCUUCAGUCUUUUAAGAGAUCGAUGGCAUCAAUGUCGGG